AGCUAUCAAAUAAGCAGUAGUUCAAUAAAUUGAAAGCAUGUACUUGGAGAAUCAAUAAAAGCUUCUGGGAAAAAAUGGAGUUUGAGCUGAGCCUUUGGGCAGGCAGGAUCUGCCAAGGCAAACAAGAAAAGAGCCUGGAUUUCUGGUGGUAAGAAAAUAUGAGCUAGGCAGGGAACCAGGGCAGAGCACAGGAUACACAGCUGGGUUAAGGAGGAAACUUGGCCCAGCGAAGCAGAGACUUGACCUUGGGAGUGGUGGGGAAGGUAACUACCAGAAGGUGGGCUAGAGGGCAAAGGAUCUCACAAUCCAAACAGAGGAGUUUACACCUGAUGAAAUGGAGAAUCUUGGAAGGUUUCUGAGGAGAUAACUGAUUGAUGAGGGCAACACUGAAAAUGAAGAACCUUGCAGGAUGGUGCCUGGCAUAGAUCCUCUAAGCAGAGAGCCAAGUAAGAGCCUCCUGGGGAAACCCAGACUUAGGAUGACACAUCUGGACUUGGUGAUGGCAGAGGAAAUGUCUGAGAUGGGCUUGAAGAAAGAUUUCAGUGGAAGAAACAUGAGCUGUGAUCUACAAGCAAAACAUUUGGGGGCACAGGGCCUUACUUCGUUAUCUGGAAAAUCGCCAUUGUCCACAUCCAAGAGACCCUGGUGAGGCCGUAUCUGCUUGAACAUCAUUCAUGACUGUGAGAGAAGUGGUGAUUAACUUACCUUGAAAUCAUACUGUUUAUCUUCAGAUAAUGAUGAAGGUCAUAGUGAUUCAGAGUCCAAACUCUGAAGCAAGAUGACCUGAGUCUAAAUCUUUCCUCUGCAACUUACUGCUGUAUUUUAAACUUGGUUCUUGGGUUGUUGCCGUUUGGAGGGAGGGUACUACUUAGGAUAGUUUAAGCACGUUGAUCAUAUCAAGCUGGAAAUAGAAUUGCUCACUAAGUUGUGGAUACUGGCCCCUGCCCUGAUUCCUCUGCUGUUGAUUCCCCAGCUCCCCUAACACCAUUUUAUAUUCAUGAAUCUCUUUGUAUAAUAUAUUGAUUCAGCUGCAUUAUUUGUCAGGUUGUCUGGCACCGUGCUAGGCUAUAGAGAUACAAAGGCAACAAAUUAUGGACUAUCUUAAAGGGUGGAUAAAUAUAUGUAGGGGACAGAGACUUGCAAACAAAUGCAUUCGUCAAAAUGUUAAUUAGGCCAGGCGUGGUGGCUCAUGCCUGUAAUCCAAGUACUUGAGAGGCCAAGGAGGGAGGAUCACCUGAAGUCAGGAGUUCAAGACCAACCUGACCAACAUGGUGAAACCCUGUCUUAAAAAAUAAUAAUAAUAAUAAUAAUAAUAAAUUUUUUUUAAUGUUAAUUAAAGACACUGAGAAAGAACUUUUCAGGGCACACUGGAGGAUAAGGGAGGGCAAAGUGAGUUCUGUCUGAGAGAAUGAAGUGGAGGAGGGUGUCAAGGGGCAAGAAAAGUUUUUGUGGGAAAGGUCGAUGCUUGAAUUGAAUCUCAAAGUUGUUUUGCUAUAACCACAAUAGGUAUGCUGCCUGAUAAGUGUAUAUUCACCCAACAGGUUCCUCCUGCUUGCUGCCUAGAUAAAAAUCAAUUCACUAAGACCACAGCAUUGCAGUAAAGAGUUUGACACUGAGGCUGGCCAUGCAGAACUGGGGUUAUCACUCAAAUCAGUCUUCGAAAAGGCUUCAGGGCUAGGGUUUUAUAGGUAAACUGGUGGGCAGGGGUCUAGGAAAUGGGUGCUGCCAAUUGACUGGGGAUGAAAUCACAGGAGUGUGGAAAAUAGUCCUCAUGCACCCCAUCUGCCUCUGUGUGGGGUCACAGGAUCAAUUGAGUCAUGAGUCACAGAUCUGGGUGGGGUCAGUCUGAAAGACAUCUCAAAAAACCAAUUUUACGUUCUACAAUGAUGAUGUUUUAUAUACAGGAGCAAUGAGGAUAACACAAACCUUGUCAUCUCAGGCCACAUGACUCCUAAGCAGUAAGGGUUUACAGAAACUAUGCUUACAUCUUAUCAGAAUUCAGGAUCCUCUCAUAAUCCUAAUUUUGUGGUCUUUCGUCAGUUUUACAGAGGUGGUUUAAUUUGGGGAAGGGGUAUUAUCAACCUUGCUUUAAGGUUAAACUGUAAAUUCCUCCCAAAGUUAGCUUGGCCUAUGCCCAGGAAUGGCUAAGGACAGCGUAAAGGUCAGAAGCAAGAUGGAGUCAACUGUAUCAGAUUUCUCUUACUGUCACAGUUUGGCAAAGGCAGUUUCACAUGCAACAAGUCAGUACACUGAGACACCAGGCUGCAGCAGGGAAAGGUUUAAUCAUAGGUCUGCCAAAUGAGGAGAUGGCAGGCAACCUCCAAUGCAUCUCCCUGAGGAUUUAGGGGCUAGGUUCUUUUUUGUUUGUUUGUUUUUUGAGACGGAGUUUCGCUUUUGUUACCCAGGCUGGAGUGCAAUGGCACAAUCUCCAAUCACUACAACCUCCACCUCCUGGGUUCAGGUGAUUCUCCUGCCUCAGCCUCCCAAAUAGCUGGGAUUACAGGUGCCCACCACCAAGCCUGGCUAAUUUUUUUGUGUAUUUUUAAUAGAGAUGGGGUUUUUCCAUGUUGGCCAGGAUGGUCUUGAACUCCUGAUCUCAGGUGAUCCACCUGCCUCGGCCUCCCAAAGUGCUGGGAAUACAAGCAUGAGCCACUGCGUCCGGCCUUGGGGCUAGGUUUUUAAGGAUUAUGGAGUGGGCCAAAGUGUGGAGAUCACUGAGGGGUCAAAGAGUGCAGAGGAAGUCAUGGGACAGGGAGAUGAUGAUUCUCAUGCUGAUUGUAUUCCUCUGUGGGGUUCUUCAAACUGGUUGGCAUUAGCCGUUUCCUUAGAAUCUGGGAUCUGAAAAACGUCUGAAGCAGUUCUUAAACAAAAGACUUAAAAUUUUAAUGUCAAAAAUCCCAUCUGUAGGAACAAUGGGGAUACAAAUGGUCCCCAUUUGUAGUGACUUUGUGUUACAAGGAAGUAGGUCAAAGUAUAGCCUGAUUAGUGCUUAUUUAUAACUAUAGUUCUGUCUAGAAUUCUUGUUAACCCUGUGAGGACAGCUUCACUGCUUCUCAUCUGUUCCUUCAGACCUGUUCUAAUCCUGAGGCAAUCUGAAUAAGGCAAAGCCUCCACAAAUAGGCUCAGAAAUAUUACCCCAUUUCCUGGAUUCUAGUAGCCUAGUCCCAGUCGUUGGGACUCCCUCGUUGUCUCUCAGGGAUCUUUGUUGCAUUCAGUUGAAGAAUCUGCUCUUAUCAGGAAUGACUCCUGGGCCCAAAGUCACAGCUCUCUGGUCUCCGUCCCCAUCCCCUCCCUGUCUCCGAUGAAAGGCUCAGUCCUUAGUAUUAGGCUGUAGUCUUAACCAUAUAUAGUACCCAAGUCCUUACCCAAGACUAUUUAUUUAUUUAUUUAUUUAUUUAAUGGAGACGGGGUCUCACCAUUUUGCCCAGGCUGGUCUCGAACUCUUGGACUCAAGUGAUCCUCCUGUCAGCCUCGCAAAGUGCUGGGAUUACAGGCGUGAGCCACUGCACCCAGCCUUUCCCCAAGACUGAAACCCUGCUUUGAACUGUAGCCCCAUGAUAAGGGUCCCUGCUGCUUCAUCUUUUCCUCGCCAGCCUUUCCUCUGGGAUCUGGACCUUGUUUUCUGUCCCAGCUGGGGUCCUGCUAUCCACCUUAUUUUUCUUUUUUUGAGACAGAGUCUCGCUCCAGGCUGGAGUGCAGUGGUGCAAUCUCGACUCACUGCAACCUCCGCCUCCUGAGUUUUAGGAUUCUGCUGCCUCAGCCUCCCGAGUAUCUGGGACUACAGGCAUGCACCACUACGCCAGGCUAAUUUUUGUAUUUUU
Molecule: long non-coding RNA, 3821 nt
Organism: Callithrix jacchus (white-tufted-ear marmoset)
Lineage: Eukaryota; Metazoa; Chordata; Mammalia; Primates; Cebidae
Source: Ensembl